AGAGUUUGAUCCUGGCUCAGAAUCAACGCUGGCGGCGCGCUUAACACAUGCAAGUCGAACGAGAAAGGGAGCAAUCCUGAGUAAAGUGGCGCACUGGUGAGUAACACGUGGGUAAUUUACCUUCUUGUGGGGAAUAACCCUGGGAAACUAGGGCUAAUACCGCAUACGUCCGAGAGGAGAAAGCCGCAAGGCGCAGGAAGAGAAGCCCGCGGCCGAUUAGCUAGUUGGUGAGGUAAUGGCUCACCAAGGCGACGAUCGGUAGCCGGCCUGAGAGGGCACACGGCCACACUGGCACUGAAACACGGGCCAGACUCCUACGGGAGGCAGCAGUGGGGAAUCUUGCACAAUGGGGGAAACCCUGAUGCAGCGACGCCGCGUGAACGAUGAAGCCCUUCGGGG
RNAcentral lists this ribosomal RNA (399 nucleotides) under uncultured bacterium. RNAcentral describes it as "bacterial SSU rRNA". It matches the Rfam family "Bacterial small subunit ribosomal RNA", at positions 8 to 423 of the family's 1533-position model. The record is from RNAcentral.